Long non-coding RNA from Ipomoea triloba (trilobed morning glory), 1574 nucleotides. RefSeq lists it as uncharacterized. The transcript is spliced from 5 exons. The record is from RefSeq and is a predicted model, not a curated record. NCBI's taxonomy places the organism in Eukaryota, Viridiplantae, Streptophyta, Magnoliopsida, Solanales, Convolvulaceae.
ACUAGUGGUGCAGACACCUACCCUUGGCGUAGUUGCAAACCCGGGGGGAGCCCAAGCAGGGGUCAUUACACAAGCUCGUGAAGAGCAUAACUCGGUCAUAAAAAAACGGUCAUCUGCAAAAACCGACAGGGUCGGCCCCUUCGCACACUCAAGAUCCCCUGCCCCACCCAGCAGCCCGUACAACUACGUACGUGAUAAUGUCUACACCGCCACCCCUAGGUCCUGGUCCCGCUCCCAAAUGGACCCACAACUAAUACCAGUCAACACACGAGGCGUGCACCGCUCAAAGCAUCAAAACCAUCCCAGGAGGCAAAUCACCCACCGACUCCAGUUGUCAUGAAGAUUUCUCACCAUGUGGGCCCCAUGGGAGGACACCCUACGUAGACUAUAUCGAACAAAACUUAUGUGUACCGUUGGAUCCUCGACAACCUCGUGGAGGGAAUGAGGAGAUCUUCCGCUACAAGGACCACAGUGCAACGUGGGGGGAUAUUGCUACUUUGAAGGAUGAGACUGAGGUCGACGUUGCGGUAGUGGAUGCUUGGGCGUGCGUGCUAAAUUACCAAGAGCUGACCAAAGGCCCUGAGUUCCUAACAGGCUCUUUGCGUCCACUAUGAAAAUUGUAAGUUCUCUCUGCGAAAACGUCUUCACUACUUAUUCCAACUGUGCCAUUUAGUAACAUCCUUUGGGCACAAUUGAUAGAGCUUCAAUUUGUGGAGAACCACACAGCUCUCUAUUCCGUUCGCCUAGGGUGGUUCACUAAAGGACUAGAAGCGGACUUCAGAAACUCACCGCACGAUACUUGGCGCGGGAUUCACAUGGUAAGUCUUUCUUGACAUCUUUGCCCACCUAUCGACGCCUACAGCUGCUCAUCGCACGGUGGCAUUUUCACACACGCCAACACGCACAACCCCACCCCUCCAAAUGAGGUCUAAUCUUAUCAAAAUUGGUAGUAUUCCCAAUUCUGCAAUAAGCGUGUUUCUGCAUGAUCAGUGUCGACACGGUUGCGAAGAAGAUAGACAUCAUCGAUAACUCAUCGGCUUCUAAAACAAAAGGAGAGAUGUAUUGCCAAACCCCAGCAAAGUUGAUUUACUCUCUACAUUCUUGGAUGAUAAGCUUGAGACUGAACUAGCAUUACAAAUCAGGGAAGUGAAACCUAAAAGGAUGCAGAUGUCGUGGCGGGAUGCUAAAAACCAAGUAGACUCUGCAGUAUACACUAUGCUUUACAUGGAGUCGUACUGUGGCCUAGGGGUCGCGAACUAGGAUGUAGGUCUGGAGAGAGAGAACUACUGGCAGCUAUGUGUUUUGCGCAAGUAAAUUAUGAGGGAAAUACUGAUCAGUGACAUCACCAUUCACCAAACUAGCAACAUCAAGUGUGCACGAAACUUUGUGAAUGGGCUCACAAGGAAGACGUCUGUACCAUUGAACUAAAUUGCAUUAUGAAUUUUUUGGACAAUGAUGUGAAUCUACAAGUGUAAUAAUUCACGAGCUUAGCACCCUGUACAACCUUCAAAUUCCUAUUUUCUGAUGUGGGGAUUCUUGACGUGUACUUAGACACGGGAUAAUAAAAUAAGGGA